UAAACAAUUGGGACAGGAAAGCAUGGCAGAAAGAAAUGAAUGAAAAGUCAACGUUAAGAAUCUACAGAAAAUAUAAAGAAAACAUAAGAGAAGAAAUCUGGUAUGACAACACUGAAAAAACAAUGCUGAUCAGUAGGGCCAGACUAGGUAUACUAGGAUUAAAUGAUAGAAAUAGGAUAAAAGGAGAAGAUACAAAAUGUUUAUGCUGUGAGGAACAAAAUGAAAAUUUGGAACAUUUCUUACUUUACUGUCCAGCAUACAAUGAGAUUAGAAAUAGAUAUAGCUUUAUGCAGCAACCAUAUCAAGAAAAUAAAGAGGAAUUGGUAGCAAAUAUACUCUUAUUGGUAGUUCUACUGAGGGAGGAUGUGGGGAAUAGGAAAGAUUUUAUAAAAGAAAUGUGGUAUAUCAGAGAGAAGAAACUCAAACAAACACAAACAAAGGAGGAAUAAAAGAAGCAAGGGAGCCGUUUCAAAGGCAUAUCCCACCUACUACUACUACUACUUUAAACCUAUAACAAUGGUACCUGAAGCAACGCAAUCAUCUUUUCGAAAAUGCAAUACUACUGACCAGUUCUACGAGCACAAAACCAUCAAGAUUUCCAAGAAGAAUAAACACGUGCUUUAGGAGACACAUAAUUAUAUUCUGGUGAACAAGACCCAAUUAGCAACUGAUGAGAGUGAAGUAGGGAAGACUGUAACAAUAUAUCUGAGGAAUGCAAGUGACUGAUACUUUGGUAGAAAGAGGCCAAAAGACUCACACAGUCGGCAAAGACAAGGUGACAAUUCCACUUCAUCUCCUGAUGGAACAAAUGUACAGCACUUCUGAUGACUGUAGUCAGGGAAAUAACUAUUCAUGUCAUUUGUUUUUCACUCAAAUUGAUCUCAUUAGAGUUAUAGCAACUUGUCAAACUUUUGAUCUAUUUUUUAUUGCUUUUUUGUUGAAUCAAAAUGAAUAAUUUGAUAUAGGGAAGUAGCAUUUUUUUCUAUCUGAUGUUUGUUGUGACUUCAUGCAGCAUGCUACAUACAUUUAGACUAGAAUGUACAGUGCUUUACUAGAUAAUUUGAUAUAGAGAAGUAUUAUUCUUUUCGGUCUAAUGUUUGUUGUGACUUCAUCCACGAUGUUACAUACUUAAACUAUAGUAGAUUCAUAUCUCCAUGUAUUUGAUGUCUAGGCCAGUCCCUUACAACGCUCCUGAUUGGCUGUUGAUAAGCCAAUCACAGGGCUGGAAACUGUCUCUCUCAAGAGUUCACAUAGGCAGGAAGUAUGUUCCACCUCUCCUUAGGGAUACUUUUGAAAGACUUAUCCCUCAGGAGAGGUGGAACAUAGAUCCUGCCAAUGUGAACUCUCUCAAGAGACUGAGAAUUUCCAGCCCUGUGAUUGGCUUAUCAACAGCCAAUCAGAAGCGUCAUAAGGGACUGGCCUAGAAAAUCAAUGCACGAUUGAUGUGAAUCUACUAUAGUACAUACAGUGCUUUACUUAAAGAGGGUCAAUUUGUUUUCCUGCUAUAUUUUUUUUCAAUGUAAUAGUUUUACCUCAUUAUUAAAAUGUUCAGUAAUUUAAUUACCAAGGACAGGUUUAGUUACUUGAUGCUUGUCAGAGGGGAUCUUCAAGUUAGAUUAUAUUAUGCUGGCAAAAAAAGGGUUCUUUUUGCUCGUUAAUAAGGAUUCUUUUAAGUAAUACAGUGUAUGUUGUAAUUUAUGGUGCUUAUUACCUUAAGGAUGAGAUAAAAAAUGCUUCCUAAUGACCAAGUUUUGUAAAAUAUUUUGCAUAGUAAUUAGAUAUUACACAAUUAAGGGGAGUUUAUGUUGUAUGUAGUGAGGUAUGGAGAAUGCAGUGGGUGUUUCAUGAGCAAUUGAAUAUAAUUAAUAUGUUGAAGGGUAACUGUGGCUAGAAAAAUAAGUAUAUGUACAGGUAUAUAUGGUGUUAGUCUUGAAGGAACGCUAAUGAGCAAACAAAUCAGGUAGUUACUGCAACUGUAGGAAAGUUAAUAGUUUUGUAAACCAUUUUUUGCCUUCUGAAUAAAAAUUGAAUUUU
This is a long non-coding RNA of Macrobrachium nipponense, 2034 nucleotides long. RefSeq lists it as uncharacterized. NCBI's taxonomy places the organism in Eukaryota, Metazoa, Arthropoda, Malacostraca, Decapoda, Palaemonidae. The transcript is spliced from 2 exons. The record is from RefSeq and is a predicted model, not a curated record.